GACGAACGCUGGCGGCGUGCUUAACACAUGCGAGUCGAACGGAAAGGCCCUGCUUUUGUGGUGUGCUCGAGUGGCGAACGGGUGAGUAACACGUGAGUAACCUGCCCUUGACUUUGGGAUAACUUCAGGAAACUGGGGCUAAUACCGGAUAGGAGCUCCUGCUGCAUGGUGGGGGUUGGAAAGUUUCGGCGGUUGGGGAUGGACUCGCGGCUUAUCAGCUUGUUGGUGGGGUAGUGGCUUACCAAGGCUUUGACGGGUAGCCGGCCUGAGAGGGUGACCGGGCACAUUGGGACUGAGAUACGGCGCAGACUCCUACGGGAGGCAGCAGUGGGGAAUAUUGCACAAUGGGCGGAAGCCUGAUGCAGCAACGCCGCGUGCGGGAUGACGGCCUUUGGGUUGUAAACCGCUUUCGCCUGUGACGAAGCGUGAGUGACGGUAAUGGGUAAAGAAGCACCGGCUAACUACGUG
RNAcentral lists this ribosomal RNA (468 nucleotides) under uncultured bacterium. RNAcentral describes it as "partial 16S ribosomal RNA". It matches the Rfam family "Bacterial small subunit ribosomal RNA", at positions 28 to 507 of the family's 1533-position model. The record is from RNAcentral.